GGGGAAUUUUGCGCAAUGGACGAAAGUCUGACGCAGCAACGCCGCGUGGAGGAAGAAGCUCCUUUGGAGUGUAAACUUCUGUUCAUUAGGAAGAAAAGAUAGUAGUUAAUACUUAUUAUUUAUGACGUUACUAGUAAAGAAAGCACCGGCUAAUCUCGUGCCAGCAGCCGCGGUAAUACGAGAGGUGCAAGCGUUAUUCGGAAUUAUUGGGCGUAAAGGGCGCGUAGGCGGCUUUAUAAGUUUCUUGUUUAAGACUUCGGCCUAACUGAAGAAAAGCAAGGAAUACUGUAUAGCUAGAGUAUAAUAGAGAGAAGUGGAAUUUUCGGAGCAGCGGUUAAAUGCGUAGAUCUCGAAAGGAACGCCAAUGGCGAAGGCAGCUUCUUGGGUUAUUACUGACGCUGAGGCGCGAAGGCAUGGGGAGCAAAC
RNAcentral lists this ribosomal RNA (426 nucleotides) under uncultured bacterium. Its description in RNAcentral is "bacterial SSU rRNA". It matches the Rfam family "Bacterial small subunit ribosomal RNA", at positions 356 to 773 of the family's 1533-position model. The record is from RNAcentral.